CCCUUAGAUGUUCUGGGCAGCACGCGCGCUACAAUGGUCUUCGCAAACGGAUGCAUUCUCGAAGGAGAAUGCCAAUCUUGGAAUCUAUGCCUUGGUCGGGACAGUUGCUUGCAAUUUUUCGACUCGAACCAGGAAUUCCUUGUAAUCGUGAUUCAUCACAUCACGAUGAAUACGUCCCUGCCCUUUGUACACACCGCCCGUCGCUCCUACCGAUCGAAGAGUUAGGUGAAUUGUUUUGAUCGAUAAGAUUUGACUAUGGUCAGCUCUCGUUGUGAAAUUCUGUGAAUCUGACUGUUUAGAGGAAGGAAAAGUCGUAACA
This 319-nucleotide ribosomal RNA is filed under the name uncultured eukaryote. Its description in RNAcentral is "partial 18S ribosomal RNA". It matches the Rfam family "Eukaryotic small subunit ribosomal RNA", at positions 1470 to 1796 of the family's 1831-position model. The record is from RNAcentral.